UACGUAGGGGGCAAGCGUUGUCCGGAAUCAUUGGGCGUAAAGAGCGUGUAGGCGGUCCGAUAAGUCCGCUCUGAAAGCCCGGGGCUCAACCCCGGGAGGCGGGCGGAUACUGUCGGGCUAGAGUCCGGAAGAGGCAAGUGGAAUUCCUGGUGUAGCGGUGAAAUGCGCAGAUAUCAGGAGGUACACCGAUGGCGAAGGCAGCUUGCUGGGACGGUACUGACGCUGAGACGCGAAAGCGUGGGGAGCAAACAGG
RNAcentral lists this ribosomal RNA (253 nucleotides) under uncultured bacterium. RNAcentral's name for it is "partial 16S ribosomal RNA". It matches the Rfam family "Bacterial small subunit ribosomal RNA", at positions 524 to 776 of the family's 1533-position model. The record is from RNAcentral.